AAGGCUUUAGCUUAAUUAAAGUGCCUAAUUUGCAAAUAGGAGAUGCGGGUUAAAGUUUUCCGUAAGUCUUA
This 71-nucleotide transfer RNA is filed under the name Pamphorichthys hollandi. RNAcentral's name for it is "tRNA-Ala". It matches the Rfam family "tRNA". From Rfam's summary of the family: Transfer RNA (tRNA) molecules are approximately 80 nucleotides in length. Their secondary structure includes four short double-helical elements and three loops (D, anti-codon, and T loops). The record is from RNAcentral. Lineage: Eukaryota; Metazoa; Chordata; Actinopteri; Cyprinodontiformes; Poeciliidae.